This 240-nucleotide unclassified non-coding RNA is filed under the name soil metagenome. RNAcentral describes it as "partial contains 5.8S ribosomal RNA, internal transcribed spacer 2, and large subunit ribosomal RNA". The record is from RNAcentral.
AACCUUAUGGACCUGCGGGCGUAUACCUGCGGAGGGAUCAUUACAGAGUUGCAAAACUCCCUAAACCAUUGUGAACGUUACCUAAACCGUUGCUUCGGCGGGCGGCCCGGGUCCUUCCCGGCGCCCAUCGGCCCUCGCGGGCGCCCGCCGGAGGUAAACCAAACUAUUGCAUUGUAUGGCCUCUCUGAGUCUUCUGUACUGAAUAAGUCAAAACUUUCAACAACGGAUCUCAGAUCGGAA